Molecule: ribosomal RNA, 579 nt
Filed under: uncultured bacterium
Lineage: Bacteria
Description: partial 16S ribosomal RNA
Rfam family: Bacterial small subunit ribosomal RNA
Source: RNAcentral
UGGGGAAUUUUGGACAAUGGGGGAAACCCUGAUCCAGCCAUCCCGCGUGUGCGAUGAAGGCCUUCGGGUUGUAAAGCACUUUUGGCAGGAAAGAAACGUCGCGGGUUAAUACCCCGCGAAACUGACGGUACCUGCAGAAUAAGCACCGGCUAACUACGUGCCAGCAGCCGCGGUAAUACGUAGGGUGCAAGCGUUAAUCGGAAUUACUGGGCGUAAAGCGUGCGCAGGCGGUUCGGAAAGAAAGAUGUGAAAUCCCAGAGCUUAACUUUGGAACUGCAUUUUUAACUACCGGGCUAGAGUGUGUCAGAGGGAGGUGGAAUUCCGCGUGUAGCAGUGAAAUGCGUAGAUAUGUGGAGGAACACCGAUGGCGAAGGCAGCCUCCUGGGAUAACACUGACGCUCAUGCACGAAAGCGUGGGGAGCAAACAGGAUUAGAUACCCUGGUAGUCCACGCCCUAAACGAUGUCAACUAGCUGUUGGGGCCUUCGGGCCUUGGUAGCGCAGCUAACGCGUGAAGUUGACCGCCUGGGGAGUACGGUCGCAAGAUUAAAACUCAAAGGAAUUGACGGGGUCAUAGCUG